Molecule: transfer RNA, 69 nt
Filed under: Lunella granulata
Lineage: Eukaryota; Metazoa; Mollusca; Gastropoda; Trochida; Turbinidae
Description: tRNA-Ser
Source: RNAcentral
AAGAAAAAACUGGCUAUAAAAUGGGGCUGCUAACCUUAUUUUGGGUGGUUCAAUUCCAUCCUUUUUCUU